GGAGAGGUGGCUGAGUUUGGUUGAAAACGAGCGCUCGACUCGAAAUCGAGUAGAUAGGUUGUUCCUGUCUCAUGGGUUCAAAUCCCACCCUCUCCGCCA
RNAcentral lists this transfer RNA (99 nucleotides) under Candidatus Atribacteria bacterium. RNAcentral describes it as "tRNA-Ser". It matches the Rfam family "tRNA". From Rfam's summary of the family: Transfer RNA (tRNA) molecules are approximately 80 nucleotides in length. Their secondary structure includes four short double-helical elements and three loops (D, anti-codon, and T loops). The record is from RNAcentral. Lineage: Bacteria; Pseudomonadati; Atribacterota; Atribacteria.